RNAcentral lists this ribosomal RNA (378 nucleotides) under uncultured cyanobacterium. RNAcentral's name for it is "bacterial SSU rRNA". It matches the Rfam family "Bacterial small subunit ribosomal RNA", at positions 376 to 770 of the family's 1533-position model. The record is from RNAcentral. Lineage: Bacteria; Bacillati; Cyanobacteriota.
CGAAAGCCUGACGGAGCAAUACCGCGUGCGGGAGGAAGGCCCUUGGGUCGUAAACCGCUUUUCUUAGGGAAGAAACCUGACGGUACCAACGGAAUCAGCCUCGGCUAACUCCGUGCCAGCAGCCGCGGUCAUACGGAGGAGGCAAGCGUUAUCCGGAAUGAUUGGGCGUAAAGCGUCCGCAGGUGGCAAUGUAAGUCUGCUGUCAAAACCCAGGGCUCAACUCUGGUCAGGCAGUGGAAACUACAUAGCUAGAGUUCGGUAGGGGCAAAGGGAAUUCCCGGUGUAGCGGUGAAAUGCGUAGAGAUCGGGAAGAACAUCGGUGGCGAAAGCGCUUUGCUAGACCGAAACUGACACUCAGGGACGAAAGCUAGGGUAGCG